This 564-nucleotide ribosomal RNA is filed under the name Diversispora celata. RNAcentral's name for it is "SSU rRNA". It matches the Rfam family "Eukaryotic small subunit ribosomal RNA", at positions 539 to 1116 of the family's 1831-position model. The record is from RNAcentral. Lineage: Eukaryota; Fungi; Glomeromycota; Glomeromycetes; Diversisporales; Diversisporaceae.
UUUGGAGGGGGCAGUCUGGUGCCAGCAGCCGACGUAUCAGCUCAUAGCGUAUAUUAAAGUUGUUGCAGUUAAAAAGCUCGUAGUUGAACUUCGGGGUUCACCCAUUGGUCAGGCUUAAUUGUCUGCACUGGUGAGAUGAGUCUCUACCUUCUGAGGAACUUUCAUGUCAUUAAUUUGGUGUGAUUGGAAAUCAGGACUGUUACUUUGAAAAAAUUAGAGUGUUUAAAGCAGGCUAACGUCUGAAUACAUUAGCAUGGAAUAAUGAAAUAGGACGGACUGAUUCUAUUUCGUUGGUUUCUAGGAUCACCGUAAUGAUUAAUAGGGAUAGUUGGGGGCAUUAGUAUUCAAUUGUCAGAGGUGAAAUUCUUGGAUUUAUUGAAGACUAACUACUGCAAAAGCAUUUGCCAAGGAUGGUUUCAUUAAUCAACAACGAAAGUUAGGGGAUCGAAGACGAUCAGAUACCGCCCCAAUCUUAACCAUAAACUAUGCCGACUAGGGAUCGGACGAAGUUAACUAUAAUGACCGUUCCGCACCUUGCUGGAAACCAAAUUGUCUGGCUUCAAA